Molecule: ribosomal RNA, 483 nt
Filed under: uncultured bacterium
Lineage: Bacteria
Description: partial 16S ribosomal RNA
Rfam family: Bacterial small subunit ribosomal RNA
Source: RNAcentral
GACGAACGCUGGCGGCGUGCUUAACACAUGCAAGUCGAACGCUGAAGCUCAGCUUUUGUUGGGUGGAUGAGUGGCGAACGGGUGAGUAACACGUGGGUAACCUGCCCCCUUCUUUGGGAUAACGCCCGGAAACGGGUGCUAAUACUGGAUAUUCACUGGUCUUCGCAUGGGGGUUGGUGGAAAGGGUUUUUCUGGUGGGGGAUGGGCUCGCGGCCUAUCAGCUUGUUGGUGGGGUGAUGGCCUACCAAGGCUUUGACGGGUAGCCGGCCUGAGAGGGUGACCGGUCACAUUGGGACUGAGAUACGGCCCAGACUCCUACGGGAGGCAGCAGUGGGGAAUAUUGCACAAUGGGCGCAAGCCUGAUGCAGCGAUGCCGCGUGAGGGAUGGAGGCCUUCGGGUUGUGAACCUCUUUCGCUCAUGGUCAAGCCGCAACAAUGGUUGUGGUGAGGGUAGUGGGUAAAGAAGCGCCGGCUAACUACGUG